This 72-nucleotide transfer RNA is filed under the name Hypsibius dujardini. It matches the Rfam family "tRNA". From Rfam's summary of the family: Transfer RNA (tRNA) molecules are approximately 80 nucleotides in length. RNAcentral also lists the same sequence under 1 other name. Lineage: Eukaryota; Metazoa; Tardigrada; Eutardigrada; Parachela; Hypsibiidae. The record is from Rfam by way of RNAcentral.
GUCCCCGUAGCGCAGUGGUAGCGCGUCGGUCUCCUAAACCGAAGGCCGCGGGUUCAAUCCCCGCCGGGGAUG